UUUUCUCUCCUUUCAUAUAAAGGCACAAUACCAGCACAUAGCAGUGAGCACUUCAGGAAUGUCAGUAUUUCUGUAGAGUCUUGAUCAAAUAAAUAAAGGCUGCAGCCACCACUCAGGAACAUGCAAGAGCAUGAAGACUCAAGUUUGACUGGAAAUGUCUCCCUCAGCUCAUUCUGUGCUGGGGAUCAGUUCCAGUUGAUAUAAGCCUGGAUGAAGAGAGGGAGGAAAUAACUUAAUUGCUUUAGACUUCAGUUCAGCUGGAGUGGAGAGGAAAGAAUCAGCGUCCCUUCUUUGGAAUUCAGCAAGAAGGUCGUGUUGUUGGUGAGGACAGCUCUUCUGCAGGUUUUGUGGAGGGGCGAUGCCCGCCGGGGGCCAGGCGCUGCUGGCGCUGCUGGGGCUGCCGGCGCUGCUGGCCCUGGGCUGCGCCGCCGACAGCGACUUCGCCGAGGGCGGCCCGGAGCGGCGGCGGCCCGGGCCCGGCCCCGCCUGCCCCCGCGACUGCGGCUGCACCCAGGAGGGCGUCGUGGACUGCGGCGGCAUCGACCUCAAGGAGUUCCCGCUGCUGCUGCCCGAGCUGACCAACCACCUCUCCCUGCAGAAUAACCAAAUAGAAGAAAUCUUUCCAGAAGAGCUUGCUCGUCUUUAUAGACUGGAAACUCUCAAUUUGCAAAACAACAGGCUGACUUCAAAAGGGUUGCCAGAGGAAGCAUUUGAGCAUCUGGAGAACCUGAAUUACCUGUACCUGGCAAACAAUAAGCUAACAGUGGCUCCAAAAUUCCUACCAAAUACCUUGAUCAGUGCAGAUUUUGCAGCCAAUUAUCUCACUAAGAUAUAUGGGCUCACAUUUGGACAGAAACCAAACUUGAGAUCUGUGUAUCUUCAUAACAACAAACUUUCAGAUGCUGGGUUACCUGAUAAUAUGUUCAAUGGCUCUAAUAAUGUGGAGAUACUCAUCAUGUCCAGCAAUUUCUUGAAGUAUGUUCCAAAGAAUCUCCCUCCAGCACUAUAUAAAUUACACUUACAGAGCAACAAGCUGGAGAAGAUUCCCAAAGGAGCCUUCAGCGAGCUUGCCGGGCUGCGGGAGCUGUAUCUGCAGAACAACUACUUGUCUAAUGAGGGAAUGGACAAUGAAACUUUCUGGAAAUUGUCUAGUCUUGAAUAUCUGGAUUUGUCCAGCAAUAACCUCUCCCAAAUCCCAAGUGGUUUACCUCGAAACAUCGUCCUCCUCCACCUGGAGAAGAAUGCAAUUAAGGUGAUUGACAGAGAUGUCUUGACCCAAAUUAAGAACCUGGAGUACCUUCUGCUCCACAAUAACAAAUUAAAAGCCCGAGGUAUUCACCCCUCAGCCUUCCAUGGCCUAAAGAAGCUGCACACUGUGCACCUGUACAACAACAUGCUGGAAAGGAUCCCCAGCGGGCUGCCCCGGCGGGUGAAGACACUGAUGAUCCUUCAUAACCAGAUCUCAGAGAUCAACAGGAAUGACUUUGCUACCACUUACUUCCUUGAAGAGCUGAACCUGAGCUACAACAAGCUCACAAGCCCCCAGAUCCAUCGGGAGGCCUUCCGUAAACUGCGGCAACUGAAGUCCCUGGAUCUUUCUGGAAACAAUCUCCACACAGUGCCUUUUGGCUUCCCAAAGAACUUGCAGGUUCUGAAGCUGAAGGAGAAUGAGAUAAGCAUCAUCCCAAAAGGGACUUUGUCUGGGAUGACAAAACUGAGGGAACUGUAUUUGAGCAACAAUAAACUGAAAGUAAAUUCAAUUUAUUCAAGAGCGUGGAGAGAACUCAUCAGUCUUCAGGUAGAAACACCACCUUCUCUAAUUGUUUUAGUGAUGCUGAUAUCCUCAUCUGUCUGCCUAAAUCAAAUUAUGUAGCACCAAUACUAAAUGUGCUUGGUCCUCGUGUUUUGGGGUUGCAUUGUAAGUGCUACACACCGUGUUUCUAGAGUAGAAAUGAUGUGCUAUUGUGCCAGAGGUGGGUACCUUCCACUGCUGGCCAGUCCAGCUUUGUGUCUGAAUCCUGACAGUGUCCUAUAUUUUCAGAAAAACAUCAGUGAAUGUUGUCAUUAAAACUGAAAUUAGGCCUUUCAAAGAGCUUGUCUCCCAAAAGAUUUAAAAUCAGCUCUGAGUAGAGACAGCAGGAGGAAGGAAUGCAUAAACAAAAACACUCUUAAUUCUCAAAGCCCCCACAUCAGCUUAUAGUCAGACAAGCCAAGCUGUAGGAUUUAGCAGCUCAGCUGGCUAAGGCACCUGAGGAGCAGCUCAGAGUCUGGAUUCAAUCAGCAGUCUUCUCAUUUGCUUAAUUGUUGGAGAAAGUUAAACACAAACCAUAAGGCAGGCAGGAACAAUCACAUUUGUGCCGAGCAAAAUGACCUUUCAGAAUUGUUACGCCGGCUGAAGGAUUUGUCUGCAUUUCCUUUUAGGCAACGGCCCUUUCCUGCAGUGAAAGGUAUUGCCUGUGUCACACAGCAGCCACGGAGGGGGCAUAUGGUCAGGUCACUGCACAGCAGAAUGUGCACAUCUCAGAGCAGAUCAGGGAUAAGGACGUGCAGCAUAUGUCACACUGGCCCCCAGUGUGUUUUCAGACAAUCCUGACGUUAAUCUAUAGGAACGUUUCCCUUUCUGUUGUGUCUGGGAAUAACCAAUAGCUUGUUCCUCAGUUAAUGUCAAUGAGCAGUGCAGCAGCAGUGUCUGCAGAGCUGUUUGCAUCAGCUGCAGAUUUGGUCCCUGGCUUUAAUAAUACCUUUUGCAUUUGUUUGGUGCCACACUGAUACAUGUGUGAGCAAAUAUAUUUAACAUGCAAAGCAGCCUGGAAGGAAGAUGCCAUUGAAAAUUACAGAUGGCUGGGAUUGCUUUUCUGCAGCACCUUAAUAAAAUGUAGGUUGUUUUAUUUUCAAACAAAAAUGGGUCAUGAUCCCUGCUGGGUAGCUGGAGUUGCUGGUUGGAAUGAUGAGCUUUCCUUCUCAAAGGUCCAGAUUCACAAUUAUGUGGAACUUUUGUUCUACUCUCUCUCCCUGCAGUCAAUGAAAAGCCAGAGGUGUUGCUGACAGCCAUUGGCCAUCCCCACAGCAAACCCCACUCCCACUAAACAGGGUUCAGAUAAUAGCACUGACUUAAAGUUCUGCUGGACUAAUGGGGCAUUUAUGGCUGUUGCUUUUCUUUGGAACAGCAUUAAUUCUUGUUGGUUCUUUCCAGCUGAAUCUUUUUUAUCAUUAAGUGCUUAACUGUGCAGUUGGUUUCUGAGUUGUUGCCCUGGAGUGAAUUUGGCAAAUAACCAUCCAUAAAGGUCCUGAUCAUGCAUAUACUUAGUAAAUACUUGAGUCCACACUGUUUCCAUGGAAAUCGCUGGAGACUCUGCAACUGCAAAGCAAGACAUUUACAUAAUGGACUUGGCAGUACUGGGUUAACAGUUGGAGUCAAUGAUCUUAAAGCUUUUUUCCAACCUAAACAAUUCAAUGGUUCUAUGAUAAUUGUUUUCCAGACUGGCAUUAUGUGAGGAAUAAAAACACUGGAAUGAGGACAAUUGUUUGCAGAAGUGUGGCUUUGACUAGUGGGUAAAUAGUAUCAGGUUGGUGCUAUGAAAAUACUACAAUACAGGACAACAAAACACUUCUAUUGAUCCAUUCUCUUGCAAAAAAUUAAUCUGAAAAACAACCAUGACCUUUAGUCCUGCUGUCUUCAUACAUCCUCCAUGUUAGAAUAUUUCCAGAUGGUUUUAUGUGUAACUUCACCUAUCACCAUCCUCAGCCAGCAAAGUGUUUGCAGUAGCAGAUGCCAAGGAAUUCUCCUGCAUAUCUGAAACCCAGACUGUUUUUAAUUUACUUAAACAGACAUGGGCUAAUGCCUGGGGACAGAGAUAAAGAAAUGUUGGAACUCUGAAACAAACCAGCAUGACAUAUCAUGUGGAAUCAGGAUGCUCAGUAGGAGUGUAAGAGACUAGAAUUGUCUUGGCCACACUUGCCUUGCUGCAAAUUUGAGGUAGAUUAAAUGAUUUUAUUCUAUAAUAAAUAUAACUUCAAAAUUAAAUCUCUUUCUGGUGUGUUUCUAAUAUUUAAAUUCAGUUAUUUGACCCCUUGUUGUCUCUUCCUUGCAGUCACUAGACAUGGCUGGCAACCAGCUGACAUCUAUCCCAUUAGGCCUGCCAGAAUCUCUGGAAUAUCUGUAUCUCCAGAACAACAAGAUCACAACGGUUUCAGAGAAUGCUUUUGAAUCCACACCCAAAAUAAAGGGGAUUUACCUCAGGUUUAAUAAGAUUGCAGUUGGAGCACUGAAAGAAAGUACCUUCCAAAACCUGAAGCACUUACAGGUGCUGGAUAUUGAAGGGAACCUUGAAUUCAGCAACAGUUCAAAGAAUAAGGAUGACUCAGAAGAGGAGAUGGAAGAUGAGGAAGAGGAAGAGGAAGAAGAACUGAGAUAAAAUGUGAAGUCAUGCAAUCCCAUCACAUGGGAGGAAAACAUAUGGAAAAAUACAUAUAUGUCUAUGUGUAUACAUCUAUAUAGAUAUCCAGAGAACACUUAGCAAAACGUGCAAUGAAUUAUGCAGAAACUGUUGUGGCACUGGGCCAGGCUCAUGGAAGACAGUGUGUUUCAGUGCCUUAUUCAGGGAGAGACCCUGAAUGCCUUUCCAAAGCUUCCAAAUCAUCUUAUACAAGACCCAGGAUCAUAAGGGAUUGCUCUGGAACUCACAAAAGCUGGCUUUUGUUUCUUCUGUUUCUCUUCCCUCACUGUUUCCAUCUGUAAUAACAAUAUGGGACUGUUUUGAACGCAGGCCUUCAAAUGCCAUUUUUGUCACUGCAUUUUAAGUGAACCAUGUUUAUGCCCCCUUUCUUUUCUUCCACCCAAAAGAUGCUGCUCUUGGCCAGGGCAGAUGAAUAUCUGCAGUAGUUUCAAGUGCAGAGCAGUGUAUGAGGCAUUUUGGUCAUCAAGCAGCAGUAAUAAUUCUGGAUGCAAUUAUUUCUCUGUUAUAACAAUGUGUAUAUUUGGAUGAGAAAAACAAAAUAAGGCUGGAUCCCGUAAUAUUUUAUCUCUACUGCUAAAACCUGCAGUAUAUUCCUGUUUUAGAAAGGUUUUAAGAUAAAACAAUGCUCUUGUGAAUAUAUAUAUAAAUACAUAUAUAAAAUGUCUGCCUUCCAGAGCUUUGGUAAAGUUUCUGUCUUGCUGUUGUUUGCCCAUGGGGCAGUUGGGUGAAUGUCUCUGAAGGUGUGAUCAGAGGAUGGAGUGACAGGAUGGAAUUUAAUGGAUGUGGUAGAAUUUUCCACAGUGUAUCUCAUUCACACCCAGAGGCAGGAGUGGGACUAAUGGUGUAGAAGAGGUUAGUGAGUGUGGGCUGUCUUAGGAGAAAACCAUUAAGUAUCUAAAGAAGUUUGUUUAGUUCAAGUCUGGAGACAGUGCUUGCUGUCAUACUCCCUUAAAGCUUCUCCUAUUUUAUGAUGUUGAGUGCUCUCAGCUCCUGUUGGAAUCAGAAAAUAAAGAAACCAAGGAAAAGAAGACCUACAGAGGUACAAGUUUCUCAGUUGCUUAUAAUGUCCUUCAUCUGAGGCAGCUAAUCUGCUUGACAAAAUGGUCUUUUCUUUUGAGGAUUUCUGAUUGAACACAUGUUGUUUUGCAUAAUGCAUUCCAGGAUUGACUUGGAAACACAGUUGGCUUAAUUUUUUACCAGCUGUUUUCCUGCUGGGGAUCUAGUUCCACACUCUCCCUUUGUUUCCCAUAGCUCAUGACAGUAAUUUCAAGCUGUUGUUCCCUACCUAAGACAAUUCAACACACUCAUUAAUCAUAGAAGGAAAGACUGCUUCCUGAAAAAGUAAAAGCUUGGCCCCAGAAAUUGCAAAACCCACACAUUUUUUAAUAUCAGCUAUAGAGCUGAGCAAUAAAAUAUCCUUCCAACUGA
Molecule: RNA transcript, 5885 nt
Organism: Melospiza melodia melodia
Lineage: Eukaryota; Metazoa; Chordata; Aves; Passeriformes; Passerellidae
Gene: PODN
Gene name: podocan
Exons: 12
Source: RefSeq, a predicted model, not a curated record